This is a long non-coding RNA of Cyprinus carpio carpio, 1025 nucleotides long. Lineage: Eukaryota; Metazoa; Chordata; Actinopteri; Cypriniformes; Cyprinidae. The record is from Ensembl.
CGCUUUAUAUAAAAAAUAAAAAUACACAGAAAUAAAUACUUUUAUUCAGGAAAGAUGCAUUCAACUGAUCAAAAUUGACAGCAAAGAUUUCAAAUGCUGUUGUUUAGAAUUUUAUAUUCAUCAAAAAAUUCUAAAACAAAAAAAAGUACCACAGUUUCCACAAAGGUCAUGUGACACUGAAGACUGGCGUAACGGGGCAAAAUGUGAGUUCAUGGAUGGGUGCCACCACUUCUGGAUGCCUCUGACUCGUGGACAGGAGAGACCUCAUGGAACAGACUCAUGCACAGGAGAGAGCAGACACACAUAAUGGCAACCACCAUCACAGGCAGCGCAGUAGACAGAGGGAGGUCUGUUGGGUCCGAGAGUGUCAAAGCUGUGAGGCUUGGGAGCGUAAAGACCACUGGGACGCCAGCCACUCGCACUGACAUUAAAGCACUAAAUCAUGAAUAAUAUCACAGCGUCAUGUGGAGAGAUUCAGUCUGCUGUGGGGUUUGUGUAUGUGAUUCUGCCUGUUGUACUGAAUAAAACCAACAAUCCUGACUGUGAGCAGAGCUGGUAUUCACAGGAUGGGCGUGUGAUAGCAGAUCCAUCAGAUCCUCAAACACUGAUUGAUCCUGUUAUGUCUGUCUCAUCUGAUCGUCUCGUCACUUCUUACUGUGUGGAUGAACUUGGUCAUGAGAUCAUCUGUGAUACUUCAGGAUUCAGAAUGGAGACCAUGUUCAGAGUGAGGAAUGAGACGGACCCCAUCAGCGGAUCCACACAAACUCCAAACUCAUAUCGGUUGUGGUGGCUUUUUGCUUUGUCGUCAUUGUUCUUAUCAUCAUCAUGAUCUGUUUCAUGCUGUGGUACAGGUGCUGUAAGAAAGAAUCACAUCUCCCGUGCAGCCACCGAUGAGGAAAUUCUGAAACAUGACACAAUGUGGUUUUAACUUGGCAGCAGAUCGGGGAAGCUCCGUCCAACUGUCAUCACUCAGGAGUAAAAAACUCAAAUGUUUUUUAUGAAAUAAAAUUAUUUUCUUGGUGAAA